This 497-nucleotide ribosomal RNA is filed under the name uncultured bacterium. RNAcentral describes it as "partial 16S ribosomal RNA". It matches the Rfam family "Bacterial small subunit ribosomal RNA", at positions 28 to 507 of the family's 1533-position model. The record is from RNAcentral.
GAUGAACGCUGGCGGCGUGCUUAACACAUGCAAGUCGAGCGAACAGACGCGGCUUUUGCUCCUCUCUCGUUAGCCGCGCACGUGUGAGUAACACGUGUAUCCCCUCCCUAUCAUACUGGUAUCACUUCGGGAAUCCGGAUCUUAUCCCGUAUAAUCUCUUGCACCGUAUGGUUCAAUAGUAAAAUACGGUUUUUCUGUCUCUUCUAGCUGCUUCCGCGCCGCAUUAGCUAGUUGGUAAGGUAACGGCGUUCCAAGGCAACGAUGCGUAACCGACCUGAGAGGGGGAUCGGCCACACUGGAACUGAGACACGGUCCAGACUCCUACGGGAGGCAGAAGUAGGGAAUCUUCCGCAAUGGGCGAAAGCCUGACGGAGCAACGCCGCGUGAGUGAUGAAGGUCUUCGGAUCGUAAAACUCUGUUAUUAGGGAAGAACAAAUGUGUAAGUAACUAUGCACGUCCUGACGGUACCUAAUCAGAAAGCCACGGCUAACUACGUG